ACAUUUUUUGUUACUUACCCCAGUGUUAGUGUAAAGUAUGCAGGUAAUUUAAAUAAGUACGUAGUUAUGGUACACAACAUAAGAUGUACAAACGACAGCAUUAAUUUUUGACUUUUUGACACCGGGCAUAAAAUUUACAUUCAAAUGUUUCAUGCUUAUUUGUAUCGAAGUUGAGAGAAGCUACAUGAUAUCAUUAUUUACGAUAAUAAAUACCGUGCGAGUUGAUGUAAAUAACUUGAUAAAUGCAUAUGAUGCUGAAUGUCAAGCUCCAAAGCGUAUGAAAAUUUGGGCAAGCUUGGAAAAGGAUCUUAUGGAGCCGUUACAAAGAAUCGCCAUAUUUUGACUGGCGAUGUGGUUGCCAUUAAAUGCUUUCCUUGCUGACGACAAGGAUUACGCUGUCGUCAAAAAAAGUGUUUUGGUGGAAGUCAGCGCAUUGCGCGAUGUGUGCCACGACAAUGUCGUCAAGUUAUUCCAUGUUUUUAUGGAAAAUUCCGUGUUUUAUAUGGUUUUUGAAUAUGUCAGUAAAACACUGUUGGACGUGAUCCACGAAGCUCCGAAAAAAUGUCUGGGGGCGGGUCCGCGCACCAAAUCUUUCCUGUUCCAGCUCCUGCGCGCUGUAUCAUAUAUCCAUUCCAGGA
This is a long non-coding RNA of Paramacrobiotus metropolitanus, 638 nucleotides long. RefSeq lists it as uncharacterized. The record is from RefSeq and is a predicted model, not a curated record. Lineage: Eukaryota; Metazoa; Tardigrada; Eutardigrada; Parachela; Macrobiotidae. The transcript has 4 exons.